UUCCUAAAAAAGUUUGUUUCAAAUCGAUAACAAUUUCACUUUAUUCCAUUUUACCGUGACACAACGUUAUUUUUUUGCUAUUGACAGGUGGACAAUGAUUUAAGGGCAACGGUAACUAAUUCUUCCUUCACUCUUUUCUUAUUGAGUAUGCUUCCUCUUUUCUUGAUGUCAUUAAGUAUUUCAAUUCACUAUAAAUGCGUAGGUUCAACUUCUUCAAAAAAGGAAUGUUGUUGCUAUUCAUGUUGAGCGAGAGCUGAAUGGUCAUGUGUGCUUAGAUUUGCUCUUACUUUCUCUAGCCCAUUUGCAGAAUGGAAAACAUGAGUUUUGGUUCUCGAUAGUUUUCAAUUAAAGCUCAGUCUUGCCAUUCUUAUGGUUCUUUCCACUUCUUGGAUUUCACAGUCAUAUGAGAUAAAACAAGUCUUGCCAUACCAUUAUCUAAUCUUUUAAUAAUGUCUUGCAUUACCAUUAUCAUUAGAGCCUCUGUUUUUAGUUGAUCCGUUUUAUUUUAUUCCAUCAGACGUUUAAUUAUUCAUUUUCACUUUAUUUCGUUUCAUUCCAUUUCAUUGCCUAAGAAGAGAUGAAGAGGUAGGGGAGUGUGAGGGGAGGGCUGUACAAAGUUUGUUUUUUUGGCUCAUUUUUUUGAUGUUGGUGUCGCAUAAUUUUGUUCUGACAGUUCAAUUUCAGUAAUUUCGGCAUUUUUUGGUUCUCUAACAUCGGGAUAUUGGAUAUUAGAUCUUUAAGGGGCCCAGGGCUCCGAUUUGGUAGGGGAGGAGCAUCGGGUGAUUCAAAUGGCGGCAAUCGGUACAAGGGGGUGCUUCAACCAUGGCCAAUAUUCCAAUCAGAAUGCUUAUGUCCUUUGAAAAUCUCCCACCUGUAGUACGUGAAGACACCCUUGCGGUUUACCCAUGAUCAGAGUUGUCAAAUGGAAGGACAUGAAGAUGACUCGGUGGAUCGAUGUCCAUCAUCAGCUUCACCGUAUAAAAGCUUCCUUUGUCGUUGCGCCAUGUUAAAUCGCAGACCCAAGAUUCAAGGUCUUGGGGAUGCGCUAUAAUAAUGGACGUUGGUAGUAUUUAAGGGUACCCAAAUCAAGGAGAGAGUAAAUUGUCCAUACCGUGUGGUAAUAUCUUCAGUAAGAAGCUUCUACUUUCUUUACCAGUGACGGCAAGGAUUUGUCUCAAUUUUAACCACCAAACAGGUAAUCCAAGUAGACCUAUUUUAUCCACAAGUUUGAUAUGUUGACUUUUUUGGGGUUAAAACUAGAUGGAAAUAUAUGUGAUUAUCUACUAUUUUAAGUCUUUCGGCUCCGGUUUUUACAUAAUUGUUUUAUGUUAUAAAUUUGAAGGUUCUUUGUUUGCGGCAUUUGGAGUGUUAAUUAAAAUCGUGGAAACGGGAAGUCAAACAAGUAGCGUGUGAUUGAAUGUUCAAUUAAGGCAUAAGGCAAGUAGUUAGGUGAUUUAACUGAAACCGACACGAACACACAACAUUGAUACUCCGAUAAAUUUUUUUUUCAAAAUAUUGGACACCGAUACUCUGGCUCGUAGAUUAUUCAUAAAUCCAAGGACACGACAUGACAAGUUAUCUCUACUCUUAAGUUAAGAAGCAUUGAGCUAACAAAGAGAAAAAUUAGGUGGCUCAUUCAGUGAAGGUCUAAUUGUCAUUCUGAUUUUGGUUUAUAGACUUCGAAAAUCUUUUGUUUUCCAAAUUUGCAAGUUCCAAGAUAAUAGUGAUCUCUAGAUGAACUCUUGGAUGGUCUACCAACGAUUCUCUAGAUUUCAAGGUUUACAAAAGAGAAGUCUUAUAGUGAAAAUUAUGAGUAGAAUCAUACCUUUAUUGGUAGAGCCAAAGAAUUCAUUACCUUUGUUUAAUUUGUCUUUACUUGAGUUAAGCUUUCACAAAUAAGCACGACCAUUAUGAGUUGACUGUAGAAGUUGAGGAAAAUUUAGGUUAAAAAUCUCUUACCUGCUGGUGUCAAUUUUGAAUCAUAAAGACAUACUGCUGCAAUGUUAUUUGGAAGCAUGGGCAACUUUGGGGCAUGGAUGGAUAAAAGAAUUGUGCAGUGAGGGUCUCCCAACGGGUAAGUUGUGGGACAUAGUAAUUGUCAUAGAUUAUGUUGGUAUUGAUGCUCUAUCUAGAUUCAAUGAUGCUAAUUCUGAAGUCCUUGCACUGGAAUCUCAACUAGUGGGUUCAUCCGGAUCCAAGCAAGUUGAAGCCAAGCAAAAAGGAACUGAGCUUGCUCAGUCUAAACUUGGGUUGGCCCUGCUUCAAUAUGAACUUCCUUCAAUGAUCUUGGUGCAUUGAUGCACCUCAUGGAAAAUCUUCUGGUGAAGAUAAGUAUAAUGAAGAAAGAAGGGAGUACAAAAUCAUGUUCUUGAGGUGCCUCAAUAUUAAUUUUGUUCUUCAGUCAUGAGGUUGGAUUAAUAUUUUGAUACAUCCCAUUUCAUUAGGAAGGUUUACUCCAUUAAUUGAAGUGCUUAAUUUUAUAUGUUUGCUUUGUUCCUCUUGGAGUAGACCUCUGUUGUGCGUUCCAUAAUUUCACGGUGUUUGUUUUGACAGUUGCAUGUAUUUUUACUUCACUAAAAAUCAGAUGGCAGAAUACAAAAGAUAGUAACUUUUAGAUUGUGAACUCCUAUAGUUUAUCACACGUUGCUAAGGACUCCCGAAGCCCUUUUUUUUUUUUUUUUUUUUUUGAAUACCCAAUUUUUAACCUUGCCUUUAGACACAGACAUGCGCAAUUGACAUCAAGUGAUUCAUUAGGAAGGUUUAUACCAUGAAAUAAAAUGGUUUAAUUUAUCUUUUUUGCUUUGUUCUUCCCCA
Rhododendron vialii is the source of this 2814-nucleotide RNA transcript. RefSeq lists it as uncharacterized. The record is from RefSeq and is a predicted model, not a curated record. Lineage: Eukaryota; Viridiplantae; Streptophyta; Magnoliopsida; Ericales; Ericaceae. The transcript is spliced from 3 exons.